Molecule: long non-coding RNA, 213 nt
Filed under: Elaeis guineensis (African oil palm)
Lineage: Eukaryota; Viridiplantae; Streptophyta; Magnoliopsida; Arecales; Arecaceae
Description: long non-coding RNA (EGUI_LNC040551)
Source: RNAcentral
GGACCUUGGCUUAGUCUUAGUCCCCUGAGCCUUGGGAGCACCAUAUAAGGCCCAACAAAAUUGUGAUUGCAUUGGAGCAAGUAGGCACCGUGUCCCACCAACUUUUUAUCAUAUUCUUGAAAUCUGCAUGGGUGAGCUAGAAAUUUUCAAAUCAAAAUGAUUUAGUAUGUAGAUAUUUACCUUAAUAUGGAGGGCAACAAUGCAAAAGGAGAG